UACGGGGGGGGCAAGCGAUGUUCGGCCUUACUGGUCGUCCAGGGCUCGUAGGCGGCCAACUAAGUCGGAUGUGAAAUCCCCAGGCUUAACCUGGGAACUGCAUCCGAUACUGGAUGGCUUGAAUCCGGGAGAGGGAUGCAGAAUUCCAGGUGUAGCGGUGAAAUGCGUAGAUAUCUGGAGGAAUACCGGUGGCGAAGGCGGGUCUCUGGGCCGAUACUGACGCUGAGGAGCGAAAGCGUGGGGAGCGAACAGG
RNAcentral lists this ribosomal RNA (253 nucleotides) under uncultured bacterium. RNAcentral describes it as "partial 16S ribosomal RNA". It matches the Rfam family "Bacterial small subunit ribosomal RNA", at positions 524 to 776 of the family's 1533-position model. The record is from RNAcentral.